Molecule: ribosomal RNA, 230 nt
Filed under: uncultured microorganism
Description: partial 16S ribosomal RNA
Rfam family: Bacterial small subunit ribosomal RNA
Source: RNAcentral
UACGUAGGGCGCAAGCGUUGUCCGGAAUUAUUGGGCGUAAAGAGCUCGUAGGCGGUCUGUCGCGUCGGAUGUGAAAGCUCGAGGCUUAACCUCGGGUCUGCAUCCGAUACGGGCAGACUAGAGGCAGGUAGGGGAGAACGGAAUUCCCGGUGUAGCGGUGAAAUGCGCAGAUAUCGGGAGGAACACCGGUGGCGAAGGCGGUUCUCUGGGCCUGUACUGACGCUGAGGAG